Long non-coding RNA from Salmo salar (Atlantic salmon), 2001 nucleotides. RefSeq lists it as uncharacterized. Lineage: Eukaryota; Metazoa; Chordata; Actinopteri; Salmoniformes; Salmonidae. The record is from RefSeq and is a predicted model, not a curated record.
GUCAAUAUUCCUCUCAUGGCAGCUAGGGUAGAACAAUUACUUAUUCCUUACAGUUAUGCCUGAAUUAUUCCACAAAAGAGCUUUAUGUGGGGUAAAAUUGUACAGGAAACAUUAAAGAUUGUUGGUGAAACCUACACUGAAAAAACGGGACAGAUUUAUGUGAUUUACUCAAACAUGUUUUGUUUCUCCUCACAACACAAUUUCAUUGUUUGCGAUCAAUGCAACACGAAGCAAAAUCUGAUCUACUAGUUUGAAUCAUGUAGUUGGAGUGUGAACCAAUAAAGCUAAUUCAUGACGAGUAAUGAGGAAGAAGUCAAACCGCGUGAGAGAAGAAUCUUCCAGAAAGAUCCUUGGCGCGUUAGCGGAGAAGACAAUAUCUAGAAUCGUGGUCAAGGUCCAUGAUGUUUGCCUGCUACAUUUGUGCUGCUUUUGUCUACACAUUCAAAGGAUGUAUAGUGUUGGAGAAACAGAAGAGAGCCUCGAGGACAUGCGGAAAGCUCUACUGUCUGAUGUGAAGAAAAGGAACAACAGAGAGACGGUGAAGUUCAAAAUGGAGAAGACGUUUGCAUACAGGAGACAUUAAGUUGUCCGUGACGCACCCUUGGUAGAGGACUUCAUGGCAAGAUGGCCUGCGCUCUUUGAAGUCAUUGAGGGAAGUUAGCCAUGCUUGUUUUAUUGUUGAUCUAUUGGUCAUGUUAUCUGAGAUUGGUUGGUGAAGGUAGAAGAUUGUUUUCCCUCAGCUUGCCUAAUUGGUAUGAAGUGUUUCCUUUUUCCUUUUUCUUUCUCUUCCUCUCCUGUUCCGUGCCACCUUCAUAUUCUAUCACUAGCUAUUCUAUUACUGUAUCUAUCAUCUCAUCUGUCUUCCAUCUUAUUUCAUUAGCUACGGUUAGAUGCACUUUCUUUUUAUUCAUAAUUGUAUUACUCAGAUUAAAGACUCCAUGUCUCCAGUGAUCAAAUUGGCUAUGUCUCAAAUGUAAUCUGAAUAGAAAUCUUGGUUAGAACCACUUUUCAUUUUAGCCUUGUAAUAGGCGGUGUUCAAAUAUUAUAAACAGUUCAAUUUAGUUGACACUUAAAAGGACUCCAGUCUUGAUUUAUUUUUGUCUGUAUCAUGCUCUUGUGCUUCAUGAGCUAUACUUUCUGCAGUCUAGAGUCCCUAACUGUAAACACUUCAUUGACGAAUGAUUCAUUUUAUAUGAUUGACAAGUUUUGCCUUUGUGUCUUCUUCAGGGCAUGGAUGAAGAGUCCACCAAGGCAGCUGUUGAGGACACUACUGUGGGGAUCUACAUUAUCAAAGACCAUUUCGCGAGUGAGGAUCCAGGGGACACUGGGAUUGUCCUUGAAGGCGUCAAGGUGCUGCAGGAUCUGGGCAACGUAGCAUUUGCUGUUGCAAUGCUGUUCGGCCUCAUGUAUGCCAUGAACCUCAGUUACCCUAACUGAGCCCCGCUACACUUUUGAUGUCUUUCAGAAGGUUUUUAUGGAACUGAAUGGGGACAAACUUUCUAACAAAGCUGUUGCAUUUAAAAACAGGCUGUUUCAGUGAGCUGUUUUGUUGUAUGUUGUGUUUCACACUGUAUGUUUGACUUAUGUUUAACUUGUUAGAUUGUUCACAAAAACUCAAAACAGAAUGAGCAUGUCCAAAGAUGGAGCUAUCGUGAUUUCCUUAAUUUUCUUUGCUGCUUAUGGAAAAAGUUCAGUUUCACUUUGUAGUGACUUUUAGUCAAUAUAAUUAACAUGCACAAAUAUGUCCACAUACCUACCUCAUUCUUUGUCUGUUACUCCUUAUGAAAAAUAACUACCUCAUUUUGUAACAAAAUGCAUUAGAGGGCCCAAUCAUUGUUAGGACAACUCUUCUUUUUUUAUAUAUACAGAUACUGUAUAAAGGCUACAGCCCCUUGAUUUAGACCUGUGCAAUUCAUUGAACACUGAAUGUCAGUGAAUGGACAUUUGUCAUUCCAAAGAGCUGAACCGUUACAAAAAAUACAAUAUCAUUUUUGAAACGCA